AACAAAGUGCCUGAAAAAGGGCCAUUUUGAUAGAAUGGAUUAUGUAAAAUUUACGUUUGU
This 60-nucleotide transfer RNA is filed under the name Eurytemora affinis. Its description in RNAcentral is "tRNA-Ile". Lineage: Eukaryota; Metazoa; Arthropoda; Copepoda; Calanoida; Temoridae. The record is from RNAcentral.